This 808-nucleotide ribosomal RNA is filed under the name uncultured bacterium. RNAcentral describes it as "bacterial SSU rRNA". It matches the Rfam family "Bacterial small subunit ribosomal RNA", at positions 8 to 827 of the family's 1533-position model. The record is from RNAcentral.
AGAGUUUGUUUCCGGGUUCAGGCCGAACGCUGGCGGCGUGGUUAACACAUGCAAGUCGAACGGUAAGGCCCCCAGCUUGCUGGGGUACACGAGUGGCGACCGGGUGAUUAACACGUGGGUGACCUGCCCCGCACUUUCGGGAUAAGCCUGGGAAACUGGGUCUAAUACCGGAUAGGACCGCACCGUGAGGGUGUGGUGGAAAGUUUUUCGGUGUGGGAUGGGCCCGCGGCCUAUCAGCUUGUUGGUGGGGUAAUGGCCUACCAAGGCGGCGACGGGUAGCCGGCCUGAGAGGGUGGACGGCCACAUUGGGACUGAGACACGGCCCAGACUCCUACGGGAGGCAGCAGUGGGGAAUAUUGCACAAUGGGCGGAAGCCUGAUGCAGCGACGCCGCGUGGGGGAUGACGGCCUUCGGGUUGUAAACUCCUUUCACCAUCGACGAAGGUUUUCUGACGGUAGAUGGAGAAGAAGCACCGGCUAACUACGUGCCAGCAGCCGCGGUAAUACGUAGGGUGCGAGCGUUGUCCGGAAUUACUGGGCGUAAAGAGCUCGUAGGUGGUUUGUCGCGUCGUCUGUGAAAUUCCGGGGCUUAACUCCGGGCGUGCAGGCGAUACGGGCAUAACUUGAGUACUGUAGGGGAGACUGGAAUUCCUGGUGUAGCGGUGAAAUGCGCAGAUAUUAGGAAGAAUACCAGUAGCGAAGGCGACUUACUGGCCUCUAACUGACGCUGAUGAACGAAAGCGUGGGUAGCAAACAGGAUUAGAUACCCUGGUAGUCCACGCCGUAAACGAUGAGUGCUAGGUGUCGGG